UUGUAGCUGGAGGUCAUAGCUAGCUCGGGGAAAUUAUUAAGUAGUUAUCUUUAAUGAGCCUCUGCCAUUGGCGUUCCAUCCUUAUCCUCUUUGUUUGAUAAUUAGGGUAGAAAUCUUCCACAGAGGAAAAUCAUUUCAAUGGAUCACCGUGUAACUAAAAACCAAUUACCAGUUUUAUGAUGAUAGGAAUAGAAUGAGCAAUGGCGGUAGUAUGACAUUUGAAAAGUGGAACCAACAGAUUAUUACCAUUUUCUUAUCAAUGCUAAUGGAAUUAUUUGAUGUGUGAAAACUAAUCAGUGAAUGAUAAUGAUCCCCUCCCACAUUUUACAAACCAACAACUAGUGCUAUAUGGAAGUGCAAAAGGAAGAAAGGAAGCAGUCCAGACCAGACCAGAAGCAAGCACCAUCAACUACUCUAAUGUUUCGCAUAUUAGAGUACUCCUGCUAAGACAAGAAUCUAUGUCUCAUAAGUAUUGUUGUUGUUGUGAAAUAGUCAGUCAGCUUAACAAAUUGUAUAAUGCUAGUAGGAUUGUACUAACAUGCAUCUUCAAGGUCAAGGGAAGGUUAUUGAUUAGUUCAGACUGCUUAUAUGCUAAUUUAAUAAUUAUUAAUUAAAAUCUUUAAUUUUAUGAUGUUUACCAAGUAUAAUUUCGAUGAGCAGAAAAGCAAAGCAAUCUAUAAAUAAAAAUCAAGAAUUAAGAAAUUUGGUUGAGAAGUAUAAUGUUGACUGUCGUAGUAGGAACAUAACAACAUCACAGAAGAUGCAGGCACGUCGUCCAUUUAUCUAUAAAUAAUCAAUUAUUUAUUAUAGCCAUAGGAUAGUAGCAGUAGAAAACGUGAUCUUAUUUCCUGAACCAGUAAAGCUAGUGACCAUUAGAGGUCUGUUUUAUUAUCCAUGUACUUUGGAAAAGUAAUGCUCGAAACUGAAUAUAUUACUGACUUACAGUCGGUAGGAAUAAGAACCCACGACCAAUUACUCUAAAUAAUAACGAGUAGAGUCUCAACUCUCAACUCAGCUUGUCGUUUUGUUUUGAGUUCACAGAUAAUUAAAAAAAAAAAAAAUCAUCAAUUGGGGGAUAUGAUGACUGUAGCAACUGCGAGCAACAAUGGAUGGAGAUGGAGAUUUCCAUUUCCACACUUGAGAAACAGCAGCAGCAGUAGAAGGAAAGCUACUCUCACUCUUCCCAUCAAACUACACCGACAUAAAGAGAACAAUCUUGUAGCCUCCUCUAAUGCAAAGCGAGCGAGUUUGACUGCCUCAAGGACCCAAAAAGUUAAACUUCCGGUUUAUGGUGACACUUCGGAGGUCAAGGGCGACCAACCUUAUCAUAUCAGUCACUUUUUAAGCCAUCCAUCUGGGAUCGAAGCUAUGUUAAACACUAGUGCCUUACAAAACUUUGAGUUUCUUGACACCAAUGCAUACAGGUGCACACUUCCAAAACUUGCGCUCUUCAACUUUGAAGCAACACCGGUACUUGACUUACGAGUGAUCCCCACAAAAGAAGAUUGCACUGUUGAGUUAUUUUCUUGCAAGUUCAAGGGUUCAAAAGUUGUGGAACGCCAAAAUGACCAUUUUUCAGCUACUAUGAUAAAUCAUAUUACCUGGGACACAAAUAUUUCUGAGCCAUUUUUAGAAGUUGAUGUGAAGUUGAAUCUAAGUCUUGAGGUUGUUAUCUUAUUGGCUUGACAAAUCAUGACUGUUACCUGGAAAUUAAAUUUUAAUUGUGCCUCCUGGCAAAACAUUUUUUUUUUUUCUGUAGGUUUGAGUCUUAUUUUGGAAUAUGUGACUUACGUUUAUCAUGAUAUGCUGGCCUAUUUCCAAUAGUGCCUAUUCGCAUCCAUAUUUACACGCGACCAUUUGUUUCACUGCCAAUUUCAGCUGUCGAGCGUCCUGGAAAUCUAAUGAUACAAGCUCUGGUGGAU
This is a non-coding RNA of Durio zibethinus, 1922 nucleotides long. NCBI's taxonomy places the organism in Eukaryota, Viridiplantae, Streptophyta, Magnoliopsida, Malvales, Malvaceae. The record is from RefSeq and is a predicted model, not a curated record.